Apus apus (common swift) is the source of this 505-nucleotide long non-coding RNA. RefSeq lists it as uncharacterized. NCBI's taxonomy places the organism in Eukaryota, Metazoa, Chordata, Aves, Apodiformes, Apodidae. The record is from RefSeq and is a predicted model, not a curated record. The transcript is spliced from 3 exons.
UGGUGAUGAUCUAACCAGCACCUGACUCGCCAGCCAUUUGGCCUUGGAGGGCUGGGCAGGGAGGAGGGCAGCUGGAUGGGGCGAUGGGGGAGCGGCUGUCACCCUGGCGGAGCCCUGUGGAGGAUUAUCCAAAGAGAUGAGACCUUGGAUGAAGCUCCUGUCAGCAGUUGAGUCUGAUCAAGCACUCUCUGCAUCUGCCAGCCAGCUUGGCACCGCCUCACCACAUGCUGCAGCUGGGCUCCAAUGGAUUUCAUAUGCAAGUUGUAGAAAUUCUGCUGAAAAGAAUGAUUUGUGUACUGCAUCUCCCACAAGAGUAACUUGGGAAAGUCAGGGGACUGUCUCCUACAUCUGGUUACUGUGUCACGUACCAUUCAUGCAAAUCUGAAAGCAACCAUCACAUGCAAAGUGAUGGAGGCACUUACCAAAAAGGAAAAAGAAAGAAAUCCUCCCCCGGAUGCUGGGCUUUAAAAGAAGAGAACUCACUGUUUUUCCCACCACAAUAUGC